UCUUCUUUCUCUUUUCUUUCUCUCUAUUUGAAGACACCAUUGAAGACAAGAUAGGGGGAGGUUUUGGGGAUCUAAAGGGACAAUUUCACCAUCAAAUCUUCAUCAAAACAUUGAGGUAUGUGAUCUAAUUCACCUUUGAGACUCUUUCCUCAAAGGGUUCCUUCAAAAUGGAUUUCAAAAGUUGGGUUUUCAAGCGAGUUUCACUCAAUUACAAAUUUGUUGUUAUGAACUGAGUUUUUUAUGUUUUCUUUAGGGUAUAAUGGAUAGAUUAACAUGUAUUUUAACUUGAUUAUGGUAAUUGGUGAUGGUUUGACCUAAAUUGAAGAGCAUGAUCCUUAACCUUUAACCCUACGUUUGAUCUUGGUGUAAAUUGGAUUGUGAUUGAUUCAAUUGUCUUGAUUAUGGGUUAAAUCGCUAUUAGAUGAUGUCGUUACAAUUAUCAUUAACAAAUUGGAGUAAGUUGUAGUCUUUCAUGCUAGUCUUGAGAAGAUGAUCUAGGUUAGAAGGUGAAUUGACCUAGGCAUUUUAUUUUAAGCUAUGAUCUAGUAUUGAAUUGCUUUAUAGUGUUUAUUCUAGUCUUGUUAUCAUGUUGAAUAUUGAAUUAUGAUGUUGUACAUUUAAAUUGGACUGAAUUGAGGUUUUAUGGUAAGGCCUAAAUGAUGAACUACGAGGAAGACUUGGUAAGUCUUAGAAUCUCUAUCUUAACUUCCAAUUGUGAUUAAUUGUGGUUAAGUCAUGAUGUUAUAUUAGAGUAUGCCUUGUAUUAGGAUUGAUUGGAUGGUGUGAUGUUAAAAUGAAAUGUCUUGAUUAUGUUGUGAGGUUGAUUAAGGUGUAUGUGAUAUAAGGAUGGAGAUGAUUAUCAAUACGCAUUGUUAUGCUAUGAAAUGCUAAUGUGUUAACCUCACUUAUAUAAAUUGUGAUGAAAGGACUUAUAAUCAUACUAUUCUUAUUGAGCUAUUAAUGAUGAUGAUUAUACAAGGGGUAGACCUUAUAACCUAAACUAAGCUAUGAUUGAUAAUUAAAAACUUAAAUACAUUUCAAAAAGGAACUUUAGUUUAGCAUCGAGUGAACUAGAUUGAGGAGUGUCCCUUCCCACAUAGGAAAGGUAGGAGCACUAAAGUACUCAUGAGAUUGGAGACUACAAUGCAUGGAGCAUAAAGAGGGUCCCAACUAUAUCUCCUACUUCUUGAACUAUGUUUCCCCCCAUAGGAAUACUAGCUAGUGGAUCCACGUAGUUGCAUGUUUUAUGUUUUGGUACUACCUUGGCAAAUAAACCGCCUUCUUUCGUUGUAGGGUUUUAUGACAUCGAAUUUCACACUAGCUCAUUUGGUCUAUAUCGGUUAGGGCAAGAUGUCCCCAAAAGGUAAAAUGAAUUAAAGAAUUGAACUCUAACUAGGAUAACCUAAGGGGUCUAACUUAGUCUAAGUAGGGGUAUGAGAUUCUACCUAAGCAUUGCACUAGUUAGCCUUGAGGGGAGUCUUAGGAGGAUGUUCUUAUAUAUGUUUAUGUUAUGAUGAUAUAUGAUAUGUAUAUGAUGAACUUGCAUAUUGUUGAUACGAUAUGUUGAUUAGUUCACUUAUGAGUAUGUGAAUGAUUAUAUUGUUAAAGUAAGAUGAAAUAUAUAUCUAAAUGUCAUAUUAUGCGGAGUUGGACAUUGGUUAUAGUUUCUUGUUGGGGUUACUUGAUUGAGUAAAGUUAUGGAGCUUUACUUGGUCAUAGCACUUGUUGGCUUGAUAAGGAUUCAUAGAUGUCUCGCUAAUUAUGAUAUGAUUAACUCUUAUUCAUUCUUGUGAUGUUAUUUCUUGAUGAUAGGUUUGUAGUAAAUCAUGGGUUCAAGUAUGUUGGGAUACACAUUACUUGCUUUGAGUUAGUAAGCAUGUUUGGUUAAUUGGUAUGACUUGUUUGAUUAUGCAUGAGACUUUUAAAAGGGUAAAAUGACAUGUUUUAACUAAAUGUCCCUUUAUCGCAUGUUUUGUUCUUAUAUGUGCAUAUGGUAUCAUACUUAGUACAUGUGGAGUACUAACCCCAUUUUCUUUCCCUUUCCCAAACAUUUUAGGUUCCGGUCGUUGAAGGCUCAUUUGAGACGACUUGAAGAAGACUCGGAUAUUCUCUAUCAUCCAAGUGGGUAGGUCCUCACUUUUCGAGGGCGAUGCCAAUAUCUUGCUUAUGAAGUUGCUUUAUUUUUCUCAGAUUUUUAUGUUUAUUCCACUUUCAUUUGAGUACGACUUGUAUAAGCCUAUAUGUGGCUUCUUUACAUUUGAUGUAGGACUAUGCGCAAAUUGCUACGAUCGUUUAGAUGGUAUGAGAUUAGACAAUCUUUGAGACUAUCUUUCUAUCUUAUAUAUAUAUAUGUAUUUGCAAUAAGAGUAGAAGGCUAUUUAACCUUUCUAUACGAAGGGUCUAUCUAUACUCGAUCCGACUAUAUUACGUGUAUGUAGAAAUCUAUGUAAACCUCCAAGUAAAUGUAAUGAAAGGUUUUAAUUUUUCCGCAAAUUUUAAUCUAUGAAUGUAAUGAAAUGAGACUAAGAGGCUAGUCUUAGUCCUUAAAGAGGACGGCGACGCCAGUUACAUCUUGGGGGUAAGCCGGAUGUGCCAAC
This 2597-nucleotide long non-coding RNA is filed under the name Solanum lycopersicum (tomato). RNAcentral's name for it is "long non-coding RNA (SLYC_LNC001309)". Lineage: Eukaryota; Viridiplantae; Streptophyta; Magnoliopsida; Solanales; Solanaceae. The record is from RNAcentral.